Molecule: transfer RNA, 73 nt
Filed under: bacterium
Lineage: Bacteria
Description: tRNA-Arg
Rfam family: tRNA
About the family: Transfer RNA (tRNA) molecules are approximately 80 nucleotides in length. Their secondary structure includes four short double-helical elements and three loops (D, anti-codon, and T loops).
Source: RNAcentral
GUCUCCGUCGCGCAGUGGAUCGAGCGUCAGCCUCCGAAGCUGAAGGUCGCAGGUUCGAAUCCUGCCGGGGACA